UAUCUCUGUAGAGUCUGCAUAUCAAUAAGCGGAGGAAAAGAAACUAACAAGGAUUCCCUUAGUAACGGCGAGUGAAGCGGGAAGAGCUCAAAUUUGAAAUCUUCAAGGUUUUACCUUGACGAAUUGUAGUUUAAAGAAGUGUUUUCUGUUGAAGUUUUGGUAAAAGUUCUUUGGAAUAGGACAUCAUAGAGGGUGAGAAUCCCGUAUUUGACCAUUAUUUUCAGCUGUGUGAUACACUUUCAAAGAGUCGGAUUGUUUGGGAAUGCAGUCCAAAAUGGGUGGUAAAUUUCAUCUAAAGCUAAAUAUUGGCGAGAGACCGAUAGCGAACAAGUACCGUGAGGGAAAGGUGAAAAGAACUUUGAAAAGAGAGUUAAACAGUACGUGAAAUUGUCAAAAGGGAAGCGUUUGACACCAGUGUUGUUUUCUCGAAAAUCAAUUAAAAAGAGUUUGAUUUUGUUGUGUAUUGACCUUAACAGCUUGCAUUUCAAUUUUCUUGCUUUUUUUAAUGCACUUUUCGUUUAACAAGUCAACAUCAGUUUCUUUUGUUGUAAAAGGUCAUUGGAAGGUGGCUUUCUUUUCGGAGAAAGUGUUUAUAGCCUUUGACUCCUGCAAUCGGAGAGACUGAGGUCUGCAGCGUAGAUCCUUCGGGGUUAGAUACAUUUGUGCUAAGUUAUAGCUUUUUAUAGACAACUUGUUGACUAUGAUUAGUCUUGUAGCUUACUCGCUUAUGCUAUUUUACCUACGCUUAGGAUGUUGAAGAUAUGCGCGACACG
Molecule: ribosomal RNA, 773 nt
Filed under: uncultured Neocallimastigales
Lineage: Eukaryota; Fungi; Neocallimastigomycota; Neocallimastigomycetes; Neocallimastigales
Description: partial large subunit ribosomal RNA
Rfam family: Eukaryotic large subunit ribosomal RNA
Source: RNAcentral